Molecule: unclassified non-coding RNA, 335 nt
Filed under: soil metagenome
Description: partial contains 5.8S ribosomal RNA, internal transcribed spacer 2, and large subunit ribosomal RNA
Rfam family: 5.8S ribosomal RNA (bases 1-120)
Source: RNAcentral
GAUGAAGAACGUAGCGAAAUGCGAUAACUAAUGUGAAUUGCAGAAUUCAGUGAAUCAUCGAGUCUUUGAACGCACAUUGCGCCCGCCAGUAUUCUGGCGGGCAUGCCUGUUCGAGCGUCAUUUCAACCAUCAAGCCCCCGGCUUGUGUUGGGGACCUGCGGCUGCCGCAGGCCCUGAAAACCAGUGGCGGGCUCGCUAGUCACUCCGAGCGUAGUAAUACAUCUCGCUCAGGGCGUGCUGCGGGUUCCGGCCGUUAAAAAGCCUUAUUUACCCAAGGUUGACCUCGGAUCAGGUAGGAAGACCCGCUGAACUUAAGCAUAUCAAUAAGCGGAGGA